Long non-coding RNA from Octopus sinensis (East Asian common octopus), 173 nucleotides. RefSeq lists it as uncharacterized. The transcript is spliced from 3 exons. Lineage: Eukaryota; Metazoa; Mollusca; Cephalopoda; Octopoda; Octopodidae. The record is from RefSeq and is a predicted model, not a curated record.
AAUCUUGAAGAAAAGGUUAUUUCGUGUCAUUAUACUAAACAUUUGUGAAGAGGAACCAUGCCACGCACAAAAAAAUUCAGCAGAACUGUCAGAUUUUCAAAGAGGUCGUAUUGUUGGGCAAUCUGAGGCUGGUUUCAGCCAGCGAAAAAUUGCCGAAAAUCUUCAAAUUCCUC